CAGCGGACCAGACGCCCUCCUAACAGACCUCUUCAGGACUGCAGCAGGACUUUAACCUUUGCUUCAGGAUGAACAGAACAACACUGCAGGAAAUGGAGGAAAUCAAAGAAGAAGCUGUAUAUGUUAAUGCAGCAGAAUGCACUGUGGAUAAAAGGGCAGCCCCUCCAGGUGCAUUAUGAACACAAUACAUUUCACAAUUUAAUGUCGUUAAACAUGAGAUUUAUUCAUCAAUCAUGAAGUUCAAACAUGUGAUAAUGAUGAAGGUUGGAAAUGUGAAUAUUGAAUCAUCUCCUUUUCUUCUAUAUUAAAAGUGUAUUCAAAGAAGCUUUGACUGUUGAAAGAAGUUGUUCAGGUGCUUCAACUGAUUUCUUAUUUUUCAGACCAGAGGUUUCUCUUCUUCACUCGCUCUUUUCUACCCAUAGCGGUGUGUUGGCUGAUACUGUUAGCCAUCAUGGGCGCUCGUAUCCACUUUACCGCCAAGCUGACUGCAGAC
This is a long non-coding RNA of Cottoperca gobio, 493 nucleotides long. RefSeq lists it as uncharacterized. The record is from RefSeq and is a predicted model, not a curated record. NCBI's taxonomy places the organism in Eukaryota, Metazoa, Chordata, Actinopteri, Perciformes, Bovichtidae. The transcript is spliced from 3 exons.